This is an RNA transcript of Loxodonta africana (African savanna elephant), 8464 nucleotides long. It is a transcript of the gene named mitochondrial matrix import factor 23, with no coding region annotated. The transcript has 6 exons. Lineage: Eukaryota; Metazoa; Chordata; Mammalia; Proboscidea; Elephantidae. The record is from RefSeq and is a predicted model, not a curated record.
GGAGCGUUUGCAGUGUCGCUCGCCGUGACUGAGCAGUUGCCAGUUCUAAAAAGAAGAAAAGUUCAUCGUAGAACUUUCCCGAACUGUAAACUCCCGAAAUAACACUACCUCGUUAGAAUCUCUAUUUCAAUACGGUUCUUUCGGUGUUUUCAAUGAAUACAUGCCUUUCUCAAGAGCCAUAAUUAGGAUCACGGUGCCCGGUGGCCCUCAGCUCCUUUACUUUGGGGGUGUGUCUCAGGCUAGUCUGAGAAAGUACCGCGUGCUUACUCUUUGUUCUCUAUUUACCUAUUCCUUAAAAACGAAGCAUGUCCACACUAAACACCUGAUUCCACCCCUGGACCAACCCUCAUUGCCAGGAAUGCCCUUUUCUUUGACUUUUCCUAGUGGUUCCAACAACAAAGCCCCUCGUUUUGGGGAUAGGCGGUAGACACUGGAGUGGGAGGGUUAAGAAAAACAACACUUUCUCUCCAGAUUUCCUCUUCCAACAAUCCGAUUGGUGCGACCAACAGAUCGUUUUCCUUUUUGUAAAAAGACAGGAUUGGACUAAACGAUCCAGGCCUCGACUGGAAUAGGACCAGGCUUCCCGGCUGAUGCUCGCGGGCUACUUCUUGUCAGGCGGCGCCGCGGACACCUUUGCUGCGUAGUGAUUGGCCCGCGGCGGGGGCCUCGCGCUUGUCCAAUAUGGCGGCGCCCAGUGGCGGUGUGAGCUGUGAGGAGUUCGCCGAGUUCCAGGAAUUACUCAAGGUGAUGAGGACGAUUGACGACAGAAUUGUACACGAAUUAAACACUACGGUUCCAACAGCUUCCUUUGCAGGGAAAAUUGAUGCCAGCCAAACCUGUAAACAACUUUAUGAGUCUUUGAUGGCAGCUCAUGCCAGUAGGGACAGAGUCAUAAAAAAUUGUAUAGCUCAGACUUCAGCUGUAGUAAAAAACCUCCGAGAAGAGAGAGAAAAGAAUUUGGACGAUUUAACGUUAUUAAAGCAACUUAGAAAAGAACAGACGAAGUUGAAAUGGAUGCAGUCAGAACUGAAUGUUGAAGAAGUAGUAAAUGACAGGAGCUGGAAGGUGUUUAAUGAACGCUGCCGAAUUCACUUCAAGCCUCCAAAGAACGAAUAAAGAAAGAUACUGUUUUUUAAAGGACCGGGUCAUCUCAUAAGAGCUAAGCACGACAGACAUCAACAGGGUGGGCUUCCUAGGAUGACUUCUGAGCCAACAGUCCAAGACCUUUUGUUGAUUUCAGCCCCACUUAGCCAAGACCUCAAAUAUUAAUAAUUCUGCUGGAUUCAGAAGAGGAUGUGGAACAAGGGGUAUCGUUGCUGAUGUCAGAUGGAUCAUGCCUGAAAGCAAAGAAUAAAAGAAGGAUGUUUACCUGUGUUUUAUUGACUAUGCAAAGGCAUUCGACUGUGUUGCUUAUAACAAACUAUGGAUAACAUUGCAAAGAACGGGAAUUCCAGAACACUUCAUUGUGCUCAUGAGGAACCUGUACUUAGACCAGGAGUCAGUUGUUUGAACAGAACAAGGGGCUACUGAGUGGUUUAAAGUCAGGAAAGGUGUGUGUCAGGGUUGUAUCCUUUCACCAUACUUAAUCUGUAUGAUGAGCCAAUAAUCUGAGAAGCUGGACUAUAUGAAGAAGAACGCGGCCUCAGGGUUGGAGGAAGACUCAUGAACAACCUGCCAUAGGCAGAUGACACGACCUUCCUCGCUGAAAUCGAAGAGGACUUGAAGCACUUACUAAUGAAGAUUAAAGACCGUAGCCCUCAGUAUGAAUUACACCUCAACAUAAGACAAAAAUCCUCACAACUGGACCAAUUAGCAACAACAUGAUAAAAGGAGAAAAGAUUGAAGUUCUCAAGGAUUUCAUUUUACUUGGAUCCACAAUCAAUGCCCACGGAAGCAGCAGUUAAGAAAUCAGAUGGCACGUUGCAUUGGGCAAAUCUGCUGCAAAAGACCCUAAAGUGUUAAAAAGCAAAGAUGUCACUUUUCAGGACUAAGGUGCACUGGUGGGUUUGAACUGCUGACCUUUCAGUUAACAGCCAAGUGUUUAAUUACUGUGCCACCAGGGCUCCUAGAGGUUUAAAAAAAAAAUUAGGGUGGGAAAAUUAGGGGCUAUUUUAGGAUUCUGUCUACUACAAUGAUCUAAACAUAAGCCACGUGGCUCUAGCACAGUUACAUCAACCAACUGGGUAACUGGUAGACCUGUGUCUAUGUAGCUGCUCAUAGAUUAUGUGCUUGGGAAAGAGCAAUAAAGACAUAAAGUGCUCACUGUUCUUUCAACAACUUUUUUUGAGCACUUAUUGUAAGUAUGUCACUUAGUUGUUGUGGCUAUUGAUAAAUAAGAUCUACUUUUGUGGAGAUUAGAAUCAAGUCUUCUCAAAAGGAAAAAUUUUCUAGGUGCCAGCAGAGAAAAAGAUUUUCUAUAAGGCUUGCUUAUUAAUGAACGGUGCCUGACAAUAGUUGUUUAAUUAUUAUUGGAUGGAUGAGUGAAUUGAAAGGAUGAAUGCAAGAAUAAAGAUAGAACUUAAAAGAUCUCCCUGGUGCUGUUGCUUAGGAGGGAAUUCAGACCCUUAUUCAUAACAGCCUUUGCAAAAUUUCAUUCAGCUUAAUGGUUGCAUCCCCAGGGCUCCUUAAUUAUGUCAGUAGGAUGUCUAAGUCAUUCCAGUAUAACAGAGCUUAGGAAGAUUAUGGUGGUGACUUUUAGUGUGGUGGUAGUUGCCAUCGAGUCAAUUCCGAUUCACAUGACCUUUAGUAUAAAUAAAUAUUUAUAUUUAUUUAGUAUACCCUUCCUAGGCUUUUUGAGUCUAGAAGCUCCACUAAAACCUGUGCGGUAUUAGAAAUACUGGUAGCACAGCUUCCAGCCUCACAGCUAUUACAGUAUGACAAACCAACAGACGAGUGGCACUUAAUCGUCCUCGUGUGGAACAUGUACAUAGACCAAGAGGCAGUUGUUUGAACAGAACAAGGGAAUACGGUGUGGUUUAAAAUCAGGAAAGUUGUGCGUCAGGAUUGUACCCUUUCAGCAUAGUUAAUCUCUAUGCUGAGCAAGUAAUCAAAGUAGCUGGACUGUGGCAUCAAGAUUGGAGGAAGAUGCUUUAAAAGCCUGUGAUGUGCAGAUGACACAACCUUGCUUGCUGGAAGUGAAGAGGACUUGAAGCACUUACUGAUGAAGAUCAAAGACCACAGCUGUCCGUAUGGAUUACACCUCAACAUAAAACAAAAACCCUCACAACUGGACCGAUGAGCAACAUCGUGAUAAAUGGAGAAAAGAUUGAAGUUGUAGAGGAUUUCGUUUUACUUGGAUCCCCAAUCAACGCCCGUUGAAGCAAUAGUCAAGAAAUCAAAGGACACAUUGCAUUGGGAAGUCUGCUGCAAAAGACUUUAAAGAGUUAAAGAGCAAAGGUGUCACCUCGAGAACUAAGGGGCAUUUGACCCAAGCCAUGGUAUUUUCAGUUGCCUCAUGUGCACGUGAAAGCUGGGCAAUGAAAAAGAAAGACCGAAGAAGAAUUGAUGCCUUUGAAUUAUAAUGUUGGUGAAGAAUAUUGAAUAUACCUGGGCUGCCAGAAAAAUGAACAAAUCUGACUUGAAAGAAGUACAGCCUUAGUUACCUAGUGCUGCUGUAACAGAAAUACCACGAGUGGAUAGCUUUAACAAACAAAUUUAUUUUCUCACAGUUUAAGAGGCUAGAAUUCUGAAUUCAGGUUGCUGGCUCUAGGGGAACGUUUUGUUUGUCAGCUCUCGAGGAAGGUCCUUGUCACUAUUGAGCUUUUGCUCCUGAGCAGUCUUCAUGUGGCUUGGCACCUCGCUUCCAUCAUCUCUGCUUCUCUUGCUUGUUUAAUCUCAUUUGUGUCUCAAAAGAGAUAACUCAAAAUAAGACCCACACUAAUCCAGCCUCAUUAACAUAACAAAGACAGCCUAUUCCCAAAUGUGUUUAUAACCACAGGCAUUGAGGUUAGGUUUACAACACAUAUUUUUUGGGGACACAAUUUAAUCCUUAACAAUCCUCCUUAGAAGCCAGGAUGACGCAACUUCAUCUUGCUUACUUUGGAGUUGUUAUCUGGAGGGACCACUCCCUGGAGAAGGACGUCAUGCUUGGUAAAGUAGAGGGUCAGCGAAGAAAAGGGAGACCCUCAGCGUGGGUUGACACAGUGGCUGCAAAAUGGGCUCCCACAAAGCAAUGAUUGUGAGGAGGGCGCAGAACUGGGCUGUGUUUUGUUCUGUUGUACAUAGGGUCGCUAUGAGUCAGGUCUGACUCAAUAACUUUUAGAAUAUUUAACGUGUUUAGUUGUGAUGAAUGGCAUUCAAAGCCUCAAAUAUAGAGAAGGGUGAAUUAUGUAUUGCCCUUGAAAGUUGCUUUGCCUGUGGAAACAAAGUGUCUUGCACAUCGUUGGUGCCUUACAACAAUUUGUUGAUAUGAUUUUGUUGCUGGAAGGAUAGGCAAAGAUUUAGCCAAAAAGAAGUAAAGAAGUAAUGUGGAGAAGUGCAGAGAAAAGUCUGGCCCUUCCUCAGCAAGACAGAAGACAGCCACAGCAAGAAACAGCUACCGUCUUGUCAGGAAACAAAACAUAAAAAUACCUGCUCUCAACAAGCUGGUGUUUAAUGAGGGAGACAGUGAAGAAUUAAGUAUAUAGUGUGCAGAGCCCUGGUGGCAAAGUGGUUAAGAGCUUGGCUACUAACCAAAACGCCAGCAGCUCGAACCCCCCAGCCACUCCUUGGAAACUAUGGGGUGGUUCUGCUCUGUCCUGUAGGGUUGCUAGGAGUCGGAAUCAACUUGACAGCAACAGGCCUGGGUUCUUUUUUUUUUUUAUUUGUUUAUAUAGUGUGCUAAAAGGUGAUGGAAAAAAAAGCAGGGAGUCAGGAAUGAGGGUAGAGAGUGGGCCGCGAAUGACUGUUUCGCUGACUAAGAGAAUAUUAUAAUGCCCUAGCCUCCUCAGGAGAAAGACCUGCUGACCUGCUCCUGUAAAGGUUACAGCCAAGAAAGCCCUAUGGGACAGUUCUCUGCCACACCAGGUUGCUAUGAGUCAAAAAUGACUUGACGGCAUCCAACAACAAGAAGUCUUUGAAAAGAUUCAACUGGAGAUUAAAACGGUAUCAAAUAUGUACAGUAAUUAAGAUUUUCUAAUAAGUCAUGCUCUUUUAUAAGUUGUGUUUCACAGAUGCCAGUUUGGGAAACGGAGCAAUAACGUACCCAGAGCUACGGCAGCGGUGUCUGCUCAUGUGCCGUGGCACUUAAGACCAUCCAGGAAUGACGCGUAACUGUGGUUGCAUUUUAAUCAAGACAAACGAAUAUUCUGCCGAGAGCUAGGCACUCUGAUCGAACGUGUUAGGAAUUACUUUGAUUACUCAUGAUUUCUGUGUGUAGUUAGCCUUGUAGAAUAAUUGAUUCACUUUUUAAAACAAUACUUAUUAUAUAAUUGAGCAUGAAUAUAAUAUUAUAUAUUAUAAUAUUUUAAAAUAAUAUUUGACUAUAAAGAAAAUAGCCAAAAAGUAAUCACUCCUGACAGGGGCAACAUUUUUAGAACAAGUUUAAUUUCAUUCCAUCAUGUUUGGGAGGAGACCCAAAAUUUUAACCAGGUUUAAGCAAAGGUAGCUUUUGGCUUCUGAAUGCAGUGAACACCUGAGAACACCCUGUAAAAGGGGAGGGACACGGGCUUAGGUGAAUUUGUGGAUCCCCUGGCACUUAAAGAUAAUUGCUGCGUUAUAAUUUACACACACACACAUAUUGGGAACCCUGGCUGCGUAGUGGUGAAGUGCUACAAGUGCUAACAAAAAGGUCAGCAGUUCGAAUCCACCAGGCGCUCCUUUGAAACUCUGUGGGGAAGUCAGAAUCCAUGGCAAUGGGUUUGGUGUGUGUGUAUAUAUACAGGGCCCUGGUGAUGCAGUGUUUCAGAGUUCGGCUGCUAACCAAAAGGAAGCCAUAUGGGGCAGUUCUACUCUGUCCUAUAGGGUCCCUAUGAGUCAGAAUCUACUCGAUGGCAAUGGGUUUUUUUAUAUACAUAUCUAUAUAUAAAUUGGAAACCUUGGUUGCGUAGUGGUUAAGUGCUACGGCUGCUAACCAAAGGGUCGGCAGUUCAAGUCCGCCAGGUGCUCCUUGGAAACUCUAUGGGACAGUUCUAUUCUGUCCUAUAGGGUCGCUAUGAGUUGGAAUCGACUCGACGGCACUGGGUUUGGUUUGGUUUUAUAUAUAAAUCAAGGGAAACCCUGGUGGUGUGGUGGUUAAGUGUUCCUAUAGGGUCGCUAUGAGUUGGAAUCGACGGCACUAGUUUUUUUUUUUUUUUUAAUAUAUAUAAAUCAUGAUAUAAGAUAAUUGCUUCAGUCUAGUUUUAAAAACUAGCAAGCAAGAUUUCUUUCCUUCUUAAAAUUCCUUAGUGGCUUCUCACUGUCUUGAAGAUAAGUACAAAUUCCUUAAAAUGGUUUAGGAAGUUCGUCACACUCUGACUCCUGCUUACCCCCAGUCUCAGGGCUCUGUACAGCACACUCUGAAAAAAAAAACCCGAUCCCACUGCCGUCAAGUCAAUUCCAACUCAUAGUGACCCUAUAGACAGAGUAGAACUGCCCCAUAGGGUUUCCAAGGAGCAGCUGGUUCAAACUGAUUAGCAGCUGAGCUCUGAAACACUGCGCUGGGCUGUUCCCCACCAAUGCUAAACCACUAAUUUUGUGUUCCCAGAAAAAUCCAAUCUCACCUCUGAGCUUCUGCACAGCUCUCUCUUCCCUGGCCAGCUCUACCCGUGCUUCAUGUCUCAGCCAUCACUUCUUUCAGCGAGCCUUUCCUACCUCGCAAAUACAAACUCUCGUUGUUAGUUGCCAUCAAGUCAAUUCCGACUCACGGCGACCUGGAGUGUGCGGAGUGUAACUACUCCGUAGAGUUUUCAAGACUGUCACCUUUUGGAAGCAGAUCACCAAGCCUGUCUUCUGAGGUGCCUCUGGGUGGGUUUGAACUGCCCGCCUUUUGUGAUUAGGUGUCCCUUUAUGUUCUCCUAUGACAGCACCUCCUGAUAUUUGUCACAUUAAGUGACUGGUUUGCCUUUUUCCCCACCAGUUCUUGGGGGCUGGCUGUGGUCCUCAGUGCCUAGGAGACACUGCUAGUUUCCUCCCUAAUAUCCAUGUCCACGUCCUUACCAGCAGGAUCUGGGUUUUGUUUAGGGUGGCAGUGUGCCCAGUCUCCUGUAGCCUCAGGUAACAAUGAAACAGUUCUGGCCAAUGAGAGGUAAGCAGAAGCAUAUCUGAGAAUCUUUUAUUUUCCUGAUAAAGACACUGCCCUUCUUCCUCAUUGCCUUCUCCUCCUCCUUUUCACCUGGGGUGUGGUUAAGGAGGCUGGAAGUGCCUAGGAUAGGAACUAAUUAUUUGCCUACUAGGUGAUAAGCAUGAAGAUAAAAGCCACAUGUUAAGGUUGGCAGAACAGGAAGAUAGAAGGAGACUGGAUUGCUGAUGGCCUUGUGGAGCUGCCCUUACAGACCUGGGCUACCUGUCUCCAGAGGGGUCAUUAUGUGAGGCCAAGGAUUUUAAACCAUUCAUUCAGGAUGUUAAUGGUAGUGGUUCACCUAUUUGGUUAAGCAAACCAUAAGUGAUACACUGUUCAAAUAUUUGUUCAAGAAAUAAAAAGUGUAGUAAUAGUGCAUUUGCUGAGUGGUUAUUAUGAAUUAGACAUCAUUGUAAGUGCUUUACAUGACUGCCCCAUUUGGGAGAAGAAUCUUAUGAGAUUCUGGUAGCGAACGCUGGAGAAGACCAGGCCCCACUGUAAAAAUGGUGUGGCAGCAGUAUCUGACCUCCUCCUCAAACUCCACAAGGGGGAAGGACAAUCAUUACCAGCAUCAACCGCCCAAGGCUGAUUCCUAGGCGAGGUCUGACAUGCCAUCUGUCGCCUAUCUUUUUACCAGUUCUGUCACCAACUGUCCCUCUCAUGGCACUCUCUACUUCUCUGCUGGGUUCGAUAAUUCAUUGCCGUGCCACACAGAACUCACAGACCAUACUCACAGCUAUGGGAUUUAUUAGGGAAGUAACAGGUUACUAUUCAGGAUCAGGAAGGCUCAGGAUACAGCUCUUCCAACAGGACAGCCUCUUCUCAGCAGUGCCUGCAGGCACGCCUCUCUCUGGCCCUUGGUCUCUGCCUUCCUCCAGCAAGUGUUACAAAGCUCUUUUAUCUCUGCCAGUAAGUGCCCCCAUGGCACCCCACUCCACCAGCAAGCCUCCUGCCCCGAGGCACUCAGCUCUUAACCACUGCACCACCAGGGCUACAUAUCUAAAAUUCUCUUGAACAAAAAGAGCCUAUCUAGAACAUUCCCAGUGAAUCAGAUGGCCAACAGUACCUCCCUGUUUAAUCCAUUGACAAUAGAACCUUUUCUCCUUAUCUGACACUCUGGUGGCGAAGUGGUUAAGUGCUAUGGCUGCUAACCAAAGGGUCGACAGUUCAAAUCCACUGGGCACUCCUUGGAAACUAUGGGGUGGUUCUACUCUGUCUUAUAGGGUCCCU